ACUCCUACGGGAGGCAGCAGUUAGGAAUAUUCGGCAAUGGGGGAAACCCUGACCGAGCGACACUGCGUGAAGGAGGAAGGCCUUAGGGUUGUAAACUUCUGAACGAGAGACGAUAAUGACGGUAUCUCGGUAAUAGCACCGGCUAACUACGUGCCAGCAGCCGCGGUAAUACGUAGGGUGCAAGCGUUGUCCGGAAUUAUUGGGCGUAAAGAGCUCGUAGGCGGUUUGUCACGUCUGCUGUGAAAAUCCAAGGCUCAACCUUGGACUUGCAGUGGGUACGGGCAGGCUAGAGUGCGGUAGGGGAGAUGGGAAUUCCUGGUGUAGCGGUGGAAUGCGCAGAUAUCAGGAGGAACACCAAUGGCGAAGGCACAUCUCUGGGCCGUAACUGACGCUGAGGAGCGAAAGCGUGGGGAGCGAACAGGAUUAGAUACCCUGGUAGGUCAGUC
Molecule: ribosomal RNA, 446 nt
Filed under: uncultured bacterium
Lineage: Bacteria
Description: bacterial SSU rRNA
Rfam family: Bacterial small subunit ribosomal RNA
Source: RNAcentral